GGACGUUGAUAGGCCGGGUGUGUAAGCGCAGCGAUGCGUUGAGCUAACCGGUACUAAUGAACCGUGAGGCUUAACCUUACAACGCCGAAGGUGUUU
RNAcentral lists this ribosomal RNA (96 nucleotides) under Escherichia coli O157:H7 str. K5602. RNAcentral describes it as "partial 23S ribosomal RNA". The stretch from base 1 to 78 matches the Rfam family "Bacterial large subunit ribosomal RNA", at positions 2848 to 2925 of the family's 2925-position model. Lineage: Bacteria; Pseudomonadati; Pseudomonadota; Gammaproteobacteria; Enterobacterales; Enterobacteriaceae. The record is from RNAcentral.